Molecule: ribosomal RNA, 448 nt
Filed under: uncultured Rhodocyclaceae bacterium
Lineage: Bacteria; Pseudomonadati; Pseudomonadota; Betaproteobacteria; Rhodocyclales; Rhodocyclaceae
Description: bacterial SSU rRNA
Rfam family: Bacterial small subunit ribosomal RNA
Source: RNAcentral
UGGAUGAUGUGGUUUAAUCGAUGCAACGCGAAAACCUUUACCCACCUUUGACAUGUACGGAAUCCUUUAGAGAUAGAGGAGUGCUCGAAAGAGAGCCGUAACACAGGUGCUGCAUGGCUGUCGUCAGCUCGUGUCGUGAGAUGUUGGGUUAAUCCCGCAACGAGCGCAACCCUUGUCAUUAGUUGCCAUCAUUUGGUUGGGCACUCUAAUGAGACUGCCGGUGACAAACCGGAGGAAGGUGGGGAUGACGUCAAGUCCUCAUGGCCCUUAUGGGUAGGGCUUCACACGUCAUACAAUGGUCGGUACAGAGGGUUGCCAACCCGCGAGGGGGAGCUAAUCCCACAAAGCCGAUCGUAGUCCGGAUCGCAGUCUGCAACUCGACUGCGUGAAGUCGGAAUCGCUAGUAAUCGUGGAUCAGCAUGUCACGGUGAAUACGUUCCCGGGUCUU